UAGUCCACGCCCUAAACGAUGAAUGUUAGUCGUCGGGUAGCUAGUCUAUUCGGUGAUGCAGCUAACGCAUUAAACAUUCCGCCUGGGGAGUACGGUCGCAAGAUUAAAACUCAAAGGAAUAGACGGGGACCCGCACAAGUGGUGGAGCAUGUGGUUUAAUUCGAAGAUACGCGAAGAACCUUACCUAGCCUUGACAUAUAUUAGAACACUUUAGAGAAUAGAGUGGUGCCUUCGGGAGCUUUUAUACAGGUGCUGCACGGCUGUCGUCAGCUCGUGUCGUGAGAUGUUGGGUUAAGUCCCGCAACGAGCGCAACCCUUGCCAUUAGUUGCCAGCAUUAAGUUGGGCACUCUAAUGGGACCGCUUGCCGAUAAGGCAGAGGAAGGUGGGGAUGACGUCAAGUCCGCAUGGCCCUUACGUCCAGGGCUACACACGUACUACAAUGGCCGGUACAAAGCGCUGCUAAGCCGCGAGGUGGAGCAAAUCGCAAAAACUGGUCUCAGUUCGG
This 506-nucleotide ribosomal RNA is filed under the name uncultured bacterium. Its description in RNAcentral is "bacterial SSU rRNA". It matches the Rfam family "Bacterial small subunit ribosomal RNA", at positions 791 to 1296 of the family's 1533-position model. The record is from RNAcentral.